CCUACGGGUGGCUGCAGUGAGGAAUAUUGGUCAAUGGCCGGAAGGCUGAACCAGCCAAGUCGCGUGAAGGAAGAAGGAUCUAUGGGUUGUAAACUUCUUUUAUCGGGGAAUAAAGGUAUCCACGUGUGGAUGUUUGCAUGUACCCUAUGAAUAAACAUCGGCUAACUCCGUGCCAGCCGCCGCGGUAAUGCGGAGGAUGCGAGCGUUAUCCGGAUUUAUUGGGUUUAAAGGGUGCGUAGGUUGUUUUUUAAGUCAGCCGGGAAAGUUUGUGGCUCAACCAUACAACUGCCGUUGAAACUGGAAGCCUUGAGUGUGCUUGAGGUAGGCGGAAUGCGUGGUGUAGCGGUGAAAUGCAUAGAUAUCACGCAGAACUCCGAUUGCGAAGGCAGCUUACUAGGCCAUAACUGACACUGAGGCACGAAAGCGUGGGGAUCAAACAGGAUUAGAUACCCGAGUAGUC
Molecule: ribosomal RNA, 460 nt
Filed under: uncultured bacterium
Lineage: Bacteria
Description: partial 16S ribosomal RNA
Rfam family: Bacterial small subunit ribosomal RNA
Source: RNAcentral